GUCAAGGCUAGAGUCACACUUGGAUAUCAGCUACUGCCUUAGUGUGCUGGAGUCCUUGAAGAACAACUGCUGACCAUACUCACUGACUCUGGCCCUGCUGUGGUGUGGCCAGUCACCAGGUCAGUGACAUGC
Small nucleolar RNA from Artibeus jamaicensis (Jamaican fruit-eating bat), 132 nucleotides. RefSeq annotates it as small nucleolar RNA SNORA3/SNORA45 family. The record is from RefSeq and is a predicted model, not a curated record. NCBI's taxonomy places the organism in Eukaryota, Metazoa, Chordata, Mammalia, Chiroptera, Phyllostomidae. The transcript has a single exon.